AACCUGCCCCAGACUCUGGGAUAACACCGGGAAACCGGUGCUAAUACCGGAUAUGACACGAGGAGGCAUCUCCAUCGUGUGGAAAGAACUUCGGUCUGGGAUGGACUCGCGGCCUAUCAGCUUGUUGGUGAGGUAAUGGCUCACCAAGGCGACGACGGGUAGCCGGCCUGAGAGGGCGAUCGGCCACACUGGGACUGAGACACGGCCCAGACUCCUACGGGAGGCAGCAGUGGGGAAUAUUGCACAAUGGGCGCAAGCCUGAUGCAGCGACGCCGCGUGAGG
Molecule: ribosomal RNA, 282 nt
Filed under: uncultured bacterium
Lineage: Bacteria
Description: partial 16S ribosomal RNA
Rfam family: Bacterial small subunit ribosomal RNA
Source: RNAcentral